GUACACUGCAGUUCAAAAACCCACAGCAGACUACUAUCUUGUGUUUUUGAAAUGCCAGGAGUCUUGUUUAGUUUGAAUUUUGUGACAAAUUGAACCAUAGGUGGAACUGAACAUUUUGUUCCAAUAGAAGACAUAAAGGUAACAAGAGGAAACAGACAUCCAAAGGCAGAGGCAAGAUCAAAAUGGUGUGACCCCAAGGAGACCCAGCAGAAAGUCUAAUAUUUCCUGCUUCCCCAGUAAGACAAACAGGCUUCCAGACAGCCUCAGUCCUACUGGAAAUGCGAUCAAAGAAAUAGGGGGCCUGACAGGAUGACACUUGCUUGGUAACAACAAUAAAUCAGGGAUACUUACGUGUCCUCGUCAUCAGAGCGAGGCUGCAACCGGUCCUCAUCUACGUCCACUUCUCGCUCAGGACCAUCAGUUUCAUCACCUUGCAGCUGGGAGAGAGGGCCCACCAAAGGGUCGUCACCUGAAAAUGGAAACCAUAACA
Micropterus salmoides (largemouth bass) is the source of this 490-nucleotide long non-coding RNA. RefSeq lists it as uncharacterized. The record is from RefSeq and is a predicted model, not a curated record. The transcript is spliced from 3 exons. Lineage: Eukaryota; Metazoa; Chordata; Actinopteri; Centrarchiformes; Centrarchidae.